GCGUCGGUGGCGUAGUGGUAAGCGUGAUGGCCUCUCACCCCAGUCGAUUGGGUAUCAAUUCCCGUCGACGCC
Aedes aegypti (yellow fever mosquito) is the source of this 72-nucleotide non-coding RNA. The record is from Rfam. Lineage: Eukaryota; Metazoa; Arthropoda; Insecta; Diptera; Culicidae.